AGAGCUCUAAAAGUCACUCUCUCCUCUAUGUACCCUGAAGAGCAUGUAUUGAAGACGAGAGGCUCUCUCAAGGAACCUGAAACCUGGUUCCUGUAAGAGGGGAGGUGACUACAGGCCUACUGUGCUUUCCUGGCCCUACUAUGUGUUCCUCGGCUUUUCAGACCAUCUUUCCUUUUUUGGAGGGGUGGGAAUCAGGGGAAGGGUCUCUUGCAUUCUGGGAAAGCCUGAGCUGUAUCUCUUGUCCCCAUCUUGAACGUAGAAAGUGUAAAUUAAGAAUGAGCCAUUAUGUGAUAGCACAUCCCUGUAAUGCCAGUACUUGAAAGGGCCGAGGCAGAAGAUCAUGAGGUCUGCCUGAGCUACAUAGCAAGUUCAAAGCUAGCCUGGCCAGCACAGCAAGACCUGUCUCAAAAACUAAAAAAUAAGCAGGCAAAAAAAAAAAAAAAAAAAAAAAAAAAAGGUAAGGGUUGUUUUUAGGAAGUAUAGCAUGGUGCAAUUCUGAAAUUUGAAACAAAUUUGUAAAAACAAGAAUAUUAGGAUCUCAUGUUCACUCCUGGCCACCUAAGCUCAAGACCAGUUUAGCCUACAUGUUUCCCUGCCUCAAACACAAACACACCUGCAGCCAUGCUCACCUGCAGCCAUGCUCACCUGCAGCCAUGCUCACCUGCAUCCACACCUGCAAUUGUAGCUCCAAGGAAGGCAGAGACAGGAGGAUGGCUGGGACUCGCCGCCUUCUACCUUAGCUAAGAAAACAGGAGCCCUGGGUCUGGCCCCUGCCCCCCCCCAAAAAAAAAUAGGUGGAGAGUGAUAACCGAGGAGCCAUGGUGCCCUCUCUGUCCAUCACAAACAUACAGCAUGGUAAUGCACACAGACACAUACAGAUAACAAAGGAAAUAGCUUCAAAAAACUAAUCUAGGGGCAAUACUGACUGCCUCUAAUUCCAGCACUCAGUGGCAGAAGCAGGUAGAUCUCUCUCCAAGAGUUCUAGGCCAUCUGGUCCUACAUAGUGAGUUCCAGGAAAGCCAGGGCCACAUCGAGACCCUAUCUUAAAACAAAGC
Molecule: long non-coding RNA, 1055 nt
Filed under: Mus musculus (house mouse)
Lineage: Eukaryota; Metazoa; Chordata; Mammalia; Rodentia; Muridae
Description: long non-coding RNA chr9:110259197-110260252
Source: RNAcentral